Molecule: ribosomal RNA, 466 nt
Filed under: uncultured bacterium
Lineage: Bacteria
Description: partial 16S ribosomal RNA
Rfam family: Bacterial small subunit ribosomal RNA
Source: RNAcentral
GACGAACGCUGGCGGCGUGCUUAACACAUGCAAGUCGAACGGAAAGGCCCUGCUUGCAGGGUACUCGAGUGGCGAACGGGUGAGUAACACGUGGGUGAUCUGCCCUGCACUUCUGGGUAAGCUUUGGAAACUGGGUCUAUUACCGGAUAGCAACCAUCUUUAGUGUGGUGGUUGGAAAGAUUUUUCGGUGUAGGAUGAUCUCGCGGCCUAUCAGCUUGUUGGUGGGUUGAUGGCCUACCAAGGCGGCGACGGGUAGCCGGCCUGAGAGGGUGUACGGCCACACUGGGACUGUGAGACAGCCCAGACUCCUACGGGAGGCAGAAAUGGGGAAUAUUGGACAAAGGGAGCCAGCGUGAUGCAGCGAGGCCGCGUGGGGGAUAAAGGCCUUUGGGUUGUAAAAUCCUCUCGCGAGUGACAAAGCGUUGUUGUGACGGUACCUAGAGAAGAAGCACCGGCUAACUACGUG